This 410-nucleotide long non-coding RNA is filed under the name Podarcis muralis (Common wall lizard). RNAcentral's name for it is "lncRNA (ENSPMRG00000002831.1)". The record is from RNAcentral. Lineage: Eukaryota; Metazoa; Chordata; Lepidosauria; Squamata; Lacertidae.
CUAAGCCCACAAAAGUGGAGCCUGCAGUUUUUACUUCUGUAGUUCACUAUGAAAUUGAGCAGCAAUAAUUUAGGCUGUUCAAUAUGUCAUAAAUGGAUACGCAACAGACAUCAGCUACACAUAGUGGGACUGUGCAACUGUCUGUGAUCCAGAGAAAAAACAUCUCUGCAGAAAAAGGCCAUCCUGCAGAAUUUUAUCUGGGGCAUUGUGGAAGAUGCAAAAUGGUGACCAGGCUGCUGAUACAGUUUUUAAACAAAAAAAUCAAAACAAGCAAGCAGAGCUUUGCAGGGGGCAGUUAAAAUGUUGUUCUUCUGCUAAUGGUAAGCCCCAUCUCAAAGAAACUGCUGGAGAAUUUCUACCCAAAGAGAACUUUGGUGAAAUGCUCCCUGCAGAAAAGGUGGAGAAUUUUG